AGGAAGUAGUGAAAAGUGUCCUUGAGACAGAUUUUUUUUUUUAAUCUUUCAGACUUUCAACAAUGACAGAACAAAGGAAAUGGCAGAAGUGGAUUUUCCUUCUACUCCACAAACUACUUCUCCUCUUCCAGGAUAUUAUCACUAUGUAGAAGGAACUUCUUUUGAAAAUACAUUCCUGCUGUUCACAAAAUUAUAGAUGUUCUUCCUUUACAGAAGUCCUGGAGAUUUAGUGGAGGACAAGAAAGACAAAGAGAAGAAUUACAUGGCUCAUACUCUUCAAAGAGAAUAAUGGAAAGAGAUAAAGAAAUUCAUGGAAAGAAUUAUUUGGUGUUUCUGAAAAAACGACAAUGGGACAUGGUGAAUGGCCAAAAUACGGGACUGAGGAGGACCCCCUCAAAUGCUGUAGUUCAACUUUCUACUUCCCAGCAGGACAAAUGGAAAGAAAGUUCUAGCAUAUGCCAGUCUUGGAAGUAUAGUACUCACUCUACUUUUGUUGUUGUUGUUGUUUUGUUGUGUUGUGUUCUGUUUUACUGCCUUGGGGAGAUGUAAUAAAGAGAAAAUCCAAUGCCUCCACCAGCUAAUGGUGUUUAUUUUAAAGAAAGUAAAUAAAGUAUUCGUUGCAGUAAAUGGAAAAAACUACAGCAUGAAUUAAGCUUGAAAAAUGAAAAAAAAAAUUCUGAAGUGAUCUGAACUGAAUGGUAACUAAUAUCUUUCCUAGGAUAUGUAUGUCUCACGUUUGAUGUAAAAAAGAACGGAUCUGAAAAUGCUUUG
This is a long non-coding RNA of Acinonyx jubatus (cheetah), 771 nucleotides long. RefSeq lists it as uncharacterized. Lineage: Eukaryota; Metazoa; Chordata; Mammalia; Carnivora; Felidae. The transcript has 3 exons. The record is from RefSeq and is a predicted model, not a curated record.